This 24533-nucleotide long non-coding RNA is filed under the name Gossypium barbadense (sea-island cotton). RNAcentral's name for it is "long non-coding RNA (GBAR_LNC022122)". The record is from RNAcentral. Lineage: Eukaryota; Viridiplantae; Streptophyta; Magnoliopsida; Malvales; Malvaceae.
ACAGCUUCAAGUUUAUCUAAGCAAAUACACAUAUAUCAACCAAAACUUCCCACAGAAACUCAAAUUUAAGUACUAAUAAGUUCAUAAAACAAGUUAAACGAAAGAUUACAUCAAGGGAAAAAGACAAUCCAGCCAAGUAACUAUACCGAUACUCAUAUUUAAUCGAACUCAUAAAGCGAUAACCGCUUGUCGUUUGUGCUUGAGGAAUGUCUGAAGCUCUUUAUAACCACUCCUGUAAUGGUCCAGACUGAAUGUAAGCUGUCUUAUUACCUCUCUUUUCUCUUCUGACACAUCUAAGAUCAUGUUCCUUUGCUUAUCCACUUCCUUCUCAAGGUCCUUUAUCUUCAAUUUCAACUCAUCUUCUAGAUUCUUUGUUAGCUGCAUAUGUUCCUUGCUUAAUUGUUGUAAAUAGUCCUCCAUUUGUCUGAUCUGUAAAUCACGAGAACGAACCUCGGCUACGAGAUUGUUUACUGUUGCAGUAACACAAUCUACGAGAUUAAUUCUAACAUUUUUGUGAGGCUAAACCAUAAUUUUACCAUAUAUUAACUUAAUAUUUUAUAAAAUUUAGGAGAUUAAAGCAACAAUUAGAAAGAUAUAAAUCCCAACGUGUUUAAGCACAUAUUUUUUCUUUAAUUUAAAAUUAUGAAAAAAUUAUAAAUAAAAGUUAAUUAUAUUAUACUCUAAAGUCUAUUCUUUGUCAUAAAGUAUUCAACUUUUGCAGCCGACAAUAUUAAGAAAAAAAAUUUGUUCCUCCAACAAUCACUUUCUUUUAUAAUUAAAAUUUGAAUUUUGAUUUUCAAAGCCCUUAAUAUUUCAAACAAGUUGGUGGAAAUUUCCAAAUCGUCCCUUUAUUAUAAAGAUUUGUUUGAUUUAGUCUCUAUAUUAUUAAAUGAAUUGAUUUAGUCCAUGUACUAUUAAAAAGUAUCAAAUAAGGGAAAAUUGGAAAAUACUUAAAUAUUUACUAUAUAAAAAAUGUCAUUUAUUGUUUCGUAUUUUUAAAUUUUUUACGGUUCUGUAAAUGAAAUCUUGUGUUUUGAAAAAAAAAUAUUUUCAAGACAUUUUUUAUAUUGUUAACUUUGUUACAAAUUAGACAGACUUAAAUUUUUUUGAUAGUAUAGAGACUAAAUUUAUUUAUUUAAUAAUAGAAAUUUUAAUUUGGUCCAGUCCCUAUAAUACAAGGAACUCACGGGACAAACACAAUAAAUUUGAUGCUAACCUAUGAAGUUUUGAAAAUUAAUGUAUGCAAUUAUAAAAUGAUACAUGCGUAGUUGACUAUGUCAAAAUGGGAAGUAAAUGGGAUAAAUCUCAAAAUUAUACAUACAUGAACUUUAUUUUGGUGCAAUUAUAGACGUGAAACGCUAUUGUGAUUCAAAUGUAUAUUUGAAACUUUAAUUUUGAUUUAAUCAUACACAUUUAAAGAAAUAAAGUCAAGUUUUAUUUUUAUAUUGUAUAAAAAUAAUAUUUAUGUAUGCAAUAUAUAAACAUAAAAUGAUGUUAUAUCAAUAAUCAUGUUAAUAAUUUAAAAGAAUAGGAUCAAAUUAAAAUUUCAUGUAUAUAAUUGCACAUUAAAUCAUAGUUCGUAUAUAAUUUUGAAAUUUAUCCAUAAAUAAAUUAGUUAAAUUUUUAAUUGGAUUUAACCUCUCUUUUGCACAUAUUAUAAUUUAUUCAUGGAGCUUCACAAAAAAGCAUAAUCGUAAUCAAAAUCAAGAUUAUGGAGUUUAAAAUGAUAAAGUUUUUUGAAAAUCGUAAUAUUUUAGAUUUAAAUUUCAUCAUUAGUAGGUUUGAUGUUUUUAGUCUAUUAGUUCAUGAUACUAACUUGAUUAGAAAUUUUCAGUUGGAAUAAUUUGUCCACUUCAAUUGUACAAACUAUUAAAAAAACCCAUAAAUAUAUAAAUAUAUAUAUAUAUAUUCAACCAUAAAUUUAUAUCGAUUCAUAGAUCAAUCGAUCCAACUUCUUAUUUCGAACUGAUACCUCAAUUAGAAGUGUCCAUGAGACUUGCAAUAUACAUGGGGCAUCUGCACAGCUCACUCCCGAUCAAGCAAGCAUCGAAUUCUUCGAAACCGUGCAGCAUUAGUAAGGAGACAUUUUUUCAAAGUGAGGCAUAAGAAAAUUCGGAUUCUUUGUAGUCCCUCAAAUCUCCGUGCAAGGAACCAUACAGGAUCAUGUUGGUUCCAAGAGAUCUUCCUUAGUUCCUUAUAUGCACUCUUAACAGUGAAGUCACCAUCAAAUGAUUGCGAAGUAGGUCCCACUUCCAUGAGUUGUCAUUCAUCAUAUAGUGCGCACCUUCAUGAAGCAGGGAAAGCGCUAUCGAGGGCGGAACUUGAAGGUGUUCUGGUUUUUGUUGAACCUUUUUUUGUUUCAUGUCAAUGGGACCUUAUCCAAUUGGCAAUGGUGGGAAAACAAAGUUUGCCAUUUUGAUCCAUUUGUAAAGGCAAGUGACUUGGCAGUGGGGGUUUCACAGUUGAGUGGCAAGGGCUAUGGAGGCGGAAGCUUCUUUUUGUCUGUUUUUUUUUAGUUUUAUGUAAUUUCGUUGAUAGGAUAGAAUGGUUAAAGUGAUAUGUUCAGGGUGAGAAUCCAACUUGAGUAACUGUUCACCUGCACUGAAUAACUUGUAUGAUGAAUGACGAAUGAUAUAAAUGAGGUGGGGAAGAAUUUUAUUUAUAGUAAAGCUCUAUAGAUCCAAGAUUGAAUUACAUUAUGAUUCGAAUUUAAUCUUAUUUAUGACAUUGAUCCCUAAAGAAUUUAAAUUUUCUAUUAUCUUAUCCUUGAGAUUAUAAAACUACACUAGUAAAAUUCAAAUUACCCAAGCAUCUACAACUGCACCAUGUUUCAAGUAGGAUGGGCAUUCAGAAUGUUUCAAAAAUAGGAUCAAUCUCGAUAGCUUAAGCAAGCCUAAUUUAAUCAAAUGAUCUCUUUAAGUUAUUAUGUGCACAUUGAAUUUUAUUAUAAUAAAACAUAAAUUAAGUCAAUUAUAUUUUUAUAAUAAAAAUAGAUAGUGGAGAAGUGAACAAAGAAAGAAGAAUAAAAACAAAACAUUAUUUCUUCUUUAUGGUCUUGCAUGCCGAAAUGGUGAGGGAAGAAAAGGGAUUUUCGUCUAUUGUUGUUUAAGUUUGGAAGCUCAAUUUGGUUGGUAUGUUUUGUUCUUUUUUAUUAAAUUUUAUAUUUUUGGAAUCUUAAAAUCAUGUAGUAGUUUAUUCAUGUUGAAAAUUUGAGAAUUAAUGAUACUUGUGAAAAUUGUCAUCGUUGAGAUUCAAUUUCUUAGUGUUAUUUUGUUGGGUUGAAGUUAUUGAUGUAUGUAUGUUUAGUAUGGUAGAUAUUGUAUAUGGUUGAUAUUUUAAGUUGUAUGGAAUUUGGCUCUUUUGAAAGUAAAUGAUUCAGUUCAAUUUGUUGACUUGAAAUAUGUAGGAUAUGGCAUUUGAAAUUUAUGAUUCCUAAUUGUGGAGCAAGAUAAAUGUAUGUAUGACUUGAUCAAGGUUGAAUGUCUUUGUAUGUGAGUGUUUGAAAUGUGGUGCCAACGAGGGCUAUAUUGGUUAGGCUCUUAGAUUGUAUGGAAUUGACAUGUUUUGAGAUGUAUUUGAUGACAUUUAUAGUUUGGUUAUAGGCUUGGUUCGGUAGCCAAGAUAGGUGUGAAAAUUGCCUUGUUUUGGAAGCAAAAAUUGGUGUACAUUGCCAGGGACACUGGCUGUACACGGCCUACCCACAUGGUCGUGUGUCUUAAUGAUUUUAGGUGCAGGUCAUACACGGUCUAAGACACAGCUAGUGACAUGGUCGUGUGACCCAAUAUCAAAUGCACACAUGGGCAGGCGCACGGCCGUGUGACCUUAAUUCAAAUAUACACACGGGCGGACACACGGUCGUGUGUCUCGACUUCAAAUGUCCACACAGUCUGGGCUGUGACACAUGGCCGUGUGUCCCUUAUUUUCAAAAUUUUCAUCUUUUUCCUAACUUUUCUGUUUUGUUUCAAAUUGGCCCCAGAAUGUUUCCAAUUUAUUUUUAGGACUCCGUAAACUCAGUUCAAGGCCCAUAAGUGUAUGUUUAUUGUGAAUUGAUUGUGAAUUGAUUAAUUGUAAUUAUAAUGAAUAAUUGUUUUUAAGUAGUGUUAAAUGUUUGAAAUGUUAUCGUACUAUUCCGUGACUCCAAUCCGGUGACAGACACUGGUUUCUUAAGUUUAAAUUGUCUUUUAUAAAUUUUAGAUAAAUGCAUGAAAAAUACAAAAGCACUCUAUAGUAAUAUUUAUUAAUCAUUAAAACUUGAUUUUUGAAUACUUUUCUUGAUCGAGUUAGUGUUGAGCUAAGUCAUGAUACUAUCUAAAUUCAUUAUGCCAAUUCAACCAUACACUUAAAUAAUAGUAUAAAUGUUAUUGUUUAUGAAAAGAUCAAAAUAUCAAUGUUGAAUCCCAAAAUGAAAUCAACGGUUAAGAUUUGAAAUAUAAGUAGAGAUGGUAAUAGAGUGGGGCAGAAUGGUUUUUUGUCCACCUGACUUGAUACAUCUCUAACAUAAUCUGACUUUGAUCCAACUCAAAAUUAAAUAUUAAUUUACUUAUCUUGAACCUAACUCGAAAAAUCAAAGUUAUACCCAAUUUCGAACGAUAUACCACUACUUUUAAUUGUUUUUAUAUAUUUUUAUUAAAAUAGAGUAAAAGUUUUAAAGUUUUUAAUGAUAACAUUACUUUUUUUUGUAGUUAUAGUUAUGCUAGGGAAAAUAAUUUUAUAAAUUGUUAUUAUCAUAUAUUAUAAUCUAAUAUUAUAUAUAAAUGGUUAUUUUGGUAAUUACGGGGCAAAUUUUUCUAAAUCGGAGAAAGAAUUGUAUGAAAUUGUGAUUCUACCUCAUCUGUAUCCUUUUCUAAUACGAAAAUGACAAAUCAGAAUUUAAGAUCUAAUCCAUGUACUUUAAAAGUUAAAAUUUCAAUUAUCCUACUUCAACAAUUUAAAAAUUCUAGUUCAAUUAUUAUUAUUUGUAAUUUUUUUUGUCAAAAAAAAAUUAAACUUAACAUGUUUAUUUUUUUUAUCAAUCAUAUGAAAUAUUAUAUGAUGGCAAUCUAAUUAACAUGCCAAAUUGGAAAAUUUUGAUGGAAAUUAUUAACAAUAUUAAAGAUUGGAAUGAAAUUUUUAAAUCAGAAAAGUAAAAGAACCAAAUCUCAAAUAUUAUCUAAGUCAAAGGACUAACAACAUAUUUUCACAAAAGAAAUUGAUAGACUAAUUUAGGUUUUAGACUAAGCAAAUUUUACAUAUCCAACUAUAUUCAACUUGUAUAAAUAUGGAAGCUAGCAUAUAAGGAUAAUAAUUUUUCAUGGAAUCUAAGGACAAAAAAAAAUUAACAUUCUAGCAUGUAAGAAAAAGAAAUAAGCAAAUCAUAUAAAUUUUAUUACCAUAUAUUUACGGUUCAAACCUCACCAUUUUCAACCUAAAAACAUUACAUUGUUUAAACACACAAUUAAAAAGCUAAAUAAAAGUAGCAAUCAUUAACAACAACACACUGUUCUUUUGUGAAACUGAAGCAACAAUUGUCAGCAUUUAUCACAGCAUCGCUGAUUUUCUACAUUUCCAAUGAGCAAUAUAGUUGCAUCCUGGUUCUGCACAUUCAAGAGAAAGAUCUUCACAACGCUCACCACAUUCAAUACAUUCAGGGUAGUAAGGAAAUUUCUUGACAAAAGUGAGAGGGUGUGGAUGUUCUCCUUCAUUGUAGAUGCUCCCGAGUUUGAUCAAUGGAUAUUCUCCAAGAACGCAAUCCACGUGAGCAGAAGUGUCACAAGUUUCACAAUAGUAAAACCAGUUCUUUGGAUCCCUUUCUUUCUCACAAAUGUCACAAUAAUGAUAUUUUGCAUAAUCAUUAAUCUUGUCAUAAGUGAGUGCAAGAAGAUGUUUAUCGCAUUUGUGUCUAACUCUAAUUGGUCGCAGAACACACCAUGGGCAUAAAUGAAUAUUACAAUCCUUACAACGAAAAGGGCAAACGACAUCCUUCCCACAAGCACUACACUGCCCCUGAUAAUUAUAAUAGAGAAGAAGAGGGUGUUUAUGCCAUGGAAUUUUUACAACAUCUUGGAGACUUAGAGCAAAACAUCGAAGGCAUAUCGGACUUCCACAUUCAUUACAUUUAUAAGAAAAUCCAUUAGAAAGGUACAUGCAUAGACCACAUUUGAACAUGCAGGCUGAAGUAAGGAUUAAGGGUUUUAAUCCAGAAUAAAAUUCCGUUUCUCCACAAGCAUGUUUCGAAAAAAGCUUCAUCUUAGGCAAUUCAGCACAAGAUUUAUGAAGAAAGAAAUCACAUCGCGAGCAAUGGUAGAACUUAGCGGAGAUCAAUAACAAGCACCCAUCACAACAUUUAUCACCAUGCUCUCUGAUGUUGUCACUUAACAUCAAGUAGUGCAUAUGCUCGCAAUGUUCUAUGAGUGUGGCUUCUCCAGCAUCAUUCGUCUCAAGAACCUCAGUGAUGGAGUUAACAGGUAUAUCAAGAGACUUGUCAGCUUCAUUUUCCUGUGAUACUAUGCAAUACAACUGCUCUUCUUUCAAUGCACAAUCCACAUGUAAUAUAACACUGCAAUCUGCACAGAAGUAACUACCGUGCUCUGUAUGGACAACUUCAUGGCACCAUAUGCAAUUCAAACUUUCAAAAUAUUCCUUGCGAAUGAAAUACGUGUGAAAAACACGAUGAACAUGGAACGCGUGUUCGAUAAUGCGUGGCAAUGAAAUGCAUUUUUUAUGUACCAUAAUACUGCAUGUACCACAUGUAUAGGCAACAUGAUGUCCUUCAGUGCCACAAGCAUCACAAAUGAAUGGAAUUUGUCUCCAAAACAAGGUGAAUGGGUGUUGAUGACUUUUAUCUUUGAUAACUGGUAAUGGCGACGCACAUUCAAUGUGAAUAGCCAACUCACAAGGUGAACAACCAUACACAAAUCCUCUUUGUUGAGUUACUUGGCACACUUUGCAAGCAAGCCGUUCACUAUUAAAUUGCAAAACAAGAGGAUGUUUGCGAUGGCACAAAAGAUCCAUUUUGAGAGGAAGCUCAGCACACCUCUUAUGCAAAUUAAACCCACAAUCAAGAGAGAAGUAUGUAUACAUUGCUAAUGGUUCCCAACACCCAAAGCACUCACCCAGGUUUCCACCAUCGUUUUUAGAGGAAAACGAUGGAUCCUCAAGGGCAACAUGCUCAAGCUCUUUCAAAUUACUUUCAGCAAUGUUAAAUGUUAACAAAGCACAUUUAAUAUGAAAGUACAAGCCACAAGAGCAAUGGUAAAUGAAUUUCUCACAUGUUUCAUCACAUAAAUCACAAACGCACCUUGUGUAAGAAGAUGGUGGAUUCUGCAAAAGCACGAGAGGAUGGUGGCGAUGAAAAGGAUGAUUAAGCUCUAAAGGUGCCUCGGCACAUGUCUUGUGGAGGUAAAACCCACAGCACUCCACGCAGCUAAAACAUGGAGCUGACACCUUCUCCCCACACCUUGAGCAAUCAACAACUCCAUUGCCAUUGCCAAGCAACUGCUCUUCAUUUAACAUUAUUGGAAAUUGGCCAACCAUGCUGCUGUUACAUUUUGUGGUUGAAGUGCAUGCAGCUUGAUGACAUGCUGCAGCACAUAUGCUUGCUGUAACAGCAAGGUUUCUGAUGAAGUUGGUACAGCAUACAGCAAACUCAACAGCAUGCAGGCCAUCAAGACCAAGUCAUGCAGGAGCUGCUGGAACGAGCUGAACUAUUCCUAUUUUGUUCAACUUGUAAUCUUAAGUUAAUGUAAUGUACUUUAGUUCAUUUAGAACUAUGUUAGGUUUAUGAUUGAUGUAUUUUGAUGACAAUUAAGCUGUUAAGUCAGCUUUGUUUAAGUGUGCAAGCUUAGUUUUUCAAGUUUCAAUGUAUUAGUGGUAGUAGGUGAUGAUUAGGUAUCAUUAUGCAGAUUUUGACAAGCAAAUUGCUUGGUUUUAUGUAUUGGCAUUAUGCCAUUGUUCAACUAAUGAAUAGAAUCAGUUUUUGUUCAUCAUUUUUCCUCUCCAUUCUCUUAGCUUUUUCUUUCUUUCUUCUGGCUUGAAUUUCUCUUGUUUGCUCAGCAAGUCUCGAGACUUGGUUGACAAGAUAUUGCUGAGGCUGCUUGAUUCUGUUAUUGCACCAACAAUUGGUAUCUAGAGCCUGUUUCUUAAGGGAUCUGUUACUCAAUUCCAUGGCUUCAUCAAGCUUUUCACCAGCUGCACCUCAAGUCUUCAAUGGAGAAGGCUAUCACAUAUGGGUGGUCAAAAUGAAGACCUACCUGCAGGCUUUCGAUCUGUGGGAGGUGGUCAACUUUGAUGUUGAACCAGAGCCACUUAGAGCUAAUCCAACAGUGGCUCAGAUCAGGCAGCAUGCUGAUGAAAGGACCAAGAGGCACAAAGCUAUGUCUUGCAUCCAAAACUCAGUGUCUGAUGUGAUUUUCACAAGGAUUAUGGCCUGUGAAUCACCAAAACAGGCCUGGGAUAAGUUGCAGGAAGAGUUUCAAGGGACAGAGAGGACAAGGCAGCAACAGUUGUUAAACUUGAGGAGAGAUUUCGAGAAUUUGAAGAUGAAGGAAGAAGAAACUGUCAAGCAAUAUUCUGACAGGAUUAUGGCUGUGGUUAACAGCAUCAGGCUCCUUGGAGAGCAGUUCAAUGAAGCUAGGAUAGUGGAGAAGGUUAUAGCAACUCUGCCUGAGAGGUAUGAGGCAAAAAUCUCAUCUCUCGAGGACUCAAGGGAUCUGUCCACCAUCUCCCUGACAGAGUUGAUCAAUGCUCUAUAUGCUCAAGAGCAGAGGAGAGCAAGCAGACUGGAGGAGCACCAAGAAGGUGCCUUUCAGGCAAGAGCAAAUACUGCCUACAAAGGCAAGAAGGCCUGGAGAGACAAGCCAAAGAAUGAUGCUGCAAGGAGAGAAGGUCAGACUUGCAAGCACUGUAGAAAGGCUGGUCAUUCAGAAGAAAAAUGCUGGUUCAAUCCAGAUGCUGUAUGUCAGCAUUGUAAGAAGAAGGGUCAUGUUGAGAGAGUCUGCAAGAGUAAGACCAAAUCGAGGCAGAAUCAGUUUCAACAGAUGAAAGCUGAGGCUCGAGUAGCAAAGGAGGACAGUGACCAAGAGGAGCAAGUCUUUGCUGUGUCAUGCUCAGCUGCUCAGGAAAGGUCCUCAUCUGGUUGGCUCCUAGACAGUGGAUGCACCAACCACAUGACACCUGAUGCCGCAAUCUUCAAGUCUUUAGACAGAAGCUGCAGAACUAAAGUCAAGAUAGGAAAUGGUCAUUUUAUCCAAGCUGAAGGCAAGGGUGAUGUGCUGAUAUGCACACUUACAGGUACCAAAGUGAUUUCAAAUGUGCUGUUGGUGCCUGAAAUUGACAGAAACCUGCUCAGCAUAGCUCAGUUGCUGGAAAAAGGUUAUUCAGUUGUGUUUAAAGACCACCAGUGCCAAAUCAGUGAUCCAAGUGGAUCCAAACUGAUGGCAGUCCCUAUGGCUGAUAAGAGCUUUGUGGUUGACUGGACAAAAAAGUCAGACAUUGCCUACACAGCCACUUCAGAUGAAUCCAAGCUGUGGCAUCAAAGAUUGGGACAUGCCAACUUCAGAUCGAUGGCUCGAAUGGUCAGAGAGGACCUGGCUGAAAAUUUCAUCAACUCAGUGGACCAUGAUGAUGUAUGUGAUGUAUGUCAGCUAGGAAAGCAGGCCAGACUCCCAUUUCCCUCGAAUCAAGCCUGGAGAGCCUCUGAAAAACUCCAACUGGUGCAUACUGAUGUGUGUGGCCCUAUGAAGACUGAGUCAUUAAGUGGAAACAGGUAUUUCAUACUGUUCAUUGAUGAUUUCUCGAGAUAUUGCUGGAUUUACUUUUUAAAACAGAAAUCAGAAGUGGCCUCAGUGUUUUGGAAGUUCAAGACUGCUUCUGAGACUGAAACAGGCUGCAAGCUGAAGACCAUAAGGUCUGAUAAUGGGACUGAGUACACCUCAGCUCAGUUCCAAGCCUUCUGUGAUAAGGCAGGCAUCAAACAUCAACUUACCAACACAUAUACACCUCAGCAGAAUGGGGUAAGUGAAAGGAAGAAUAGGAGUUUGAUGGAUAUGGCCAGGUGCUUGAUGAUUCAGAAGAAUCUGCCUAAAGCACUAUGGGCAGAAGCAGUUAACACUGCAACAUACAUUCAAAAUAGACUUCCAACCAAGGCUUUGGAUCAAAAGACCCCAUUCGAGGCCUGGUUUAGUUUCAAGCCAUCACUGGCUCAUCUGAAGGUCUUUGGAUGCAUCUGUUAUGCACAUGUACCUGCUGUUAAAAGGGACAAAUUGUCUGAAAGGGCUCGACCUGGUGUUUUGGUGGGGUAUAGCACUGUUAAGAAGGGCUAUAGGAUUUUAGAUCCUUCAACAAACAAAGUGUCAAUAAGCAGGGAUGUGGUAUUUGAUGAGAGGUCAUGUUGGAACUGGGAAAGACAUGAACCUGAAGAAGUUUCUGAAGAACUUGCAGUAGACCAAGCUGAGCCAGACCAAAAUGUCCCUGAAAUGGAUAUAGAUGAUGAACCAGUCAGAGGAACAAGGUCAUUGACUGAGGUUUAUGAAAGGGCUCAUGUAGCCAUAACUGAGCCAAGCAACUUUGAAGAGGCUGAGGCUCAACAAGGGUGGAAGCAGGCAAUGGCUGAGGAGAUCAGCAUGAUUGAGAAGAACCAGACCUGGAAAUUGGUUGAAAGGCCAGUCAAAAGGAAGGUGAUUGGGGUGAAAUGGGUGUACAAAGCCAAGCAGAAUGCUGAUGGUACCUUGAACAAGUUAAAAGCAAGGCUAGUGGUCAAGGGGUUCAGUCAAAGGUAUGGCUUGGACUAUUUGGAGACCUUUGCACCAGUGGCCAGGCUCGACACCAUCAGACUGCUGAUUGCCUUAGCUGCACAGCUCGAAUGGAAGAUUCAUCAACUUGAUGUGAAAUCAGCCUUUCUGAAUGGUUUCUUAGAUGAAGACAUCUAUGUUGAACAACCACAAGGGUUUGAAAUAGCUGGCAGAGAGCAUAUGGUCUACAAAUUGAAGAAGGCCCUAUAUGGCUUAAAACAGGCUCCAAGGGCCUGGUACAGCAGAAUCGAUGGCUACUUGACUGAUCUGGGAUUCAAUCGAAGCAAGAGUGAGCCAACACUAUAUGUCAAGAAGCAAGGGACACAAACACAACUCAUUGUGUCCCUAUAUGUUGAUGACCUGCUGGUGACAGGAGGAGAUCAAGCAGUGCUGGUUAAUUUCAAGACCAAGAUGCAAGAAGUGUUUGAAAUGUCUGAUCUUGGGGAGAUGUCCUAUUUUCUUGGAAUGGAGGUGACUCAAGCACAGAAUGGGAUAUUUUUAAGUCAGAAGAGCUUUGCCACAAAGAUUCUGACCAAGUUCUCCAUGCAAAACAGCAAACCAACUAAAACACCUGUUGCUGUUGGAGAAAAACUAUCGAGCCAAGGAGAUUUUGAGAAGGUAUGUGAAACUACCUACAGGAGUCUAGUUGGUUGUUUGCUAUACUUGACUGCCACUAGACCAGACAUAAUGUAUGCUGUAGGAUUGCUCUCAAGGUUCUUGCAUUGUUGCAAUGAGAAGCAUUUCCAGGCUGCCAAGAGAGUGCUCAGAUAUGUCAAAGGCACUUUGGACUAUGGCUUAAGGUACAGCAGGAAAGGAAAUCUAAAUCUAGUUGGGUACACUGAUAGUGACUGGGCUGGAUCAAUAGAUGACAUGAAAAGCACCUCAGGGUAUGCUUUUAACCUUGGUUCAGCCAUGUUCUGCUGGAGCUCUAAGAAGCAAAGUCUGGUGGCACAAUCUACUGCUGAAGCAGAGUAUGUGGCAGCAGCAAGUGCUGUCAACCAAGCCAUUUGGCUUAGGAAAAUCCUGGCUGAUUUGAAUAUGGAUCAAAUGAAAGCAACAGAGAUCUUCUGUGACAAUCAAUCUGCAGUUGCAAUUGCUAAAAAUCCAGUGUUCCAUGGUAGAACAAAACAUUUCAGCAUCAAGUUACAUGUUGUUCGAGAAAUGGAGCAAGCUCAGGAAAUAAAGCUGAUCCACUGUAAUUCAGAGGAUCAACUUGCUGACAUUUUAACCAAAGCUCUUAGUGUCACAAGGUUUGAAUAUCUAAGAAAGAUGCUAGGUGUUUGCUCCAUGCAAACCAAGGAGGAGUGAUGAAGUUGGUACAGCAUGCAGCAAACUCAACAGCAUGCAGGCCAUCAAGACCAAGUCAUGCAGGAGCUGCUGGAACGAGCUGAACUAUUCCUAUUUUGUUCAACUUGUAAUCUUAAGUUAAUGUAAUGUACUUUAGUUCAUUUAGAACUAUGUUAGGUUUAUGAUUGAUGUAUUUUGAUGACAAUUAAGCUAUUAAGUCAGCUUUGUUUAAGUGUGCAAGCUUAGUUUUUCAAGUUUCAAUGUAUUAGUGGUAGUAGGUGAUGAUUAGGUAUCAUUAUGCAGAUUUUGACAAGCAAAUUGCUUGGUUUUAUGUAUUGGCAUUAUGCCAUUGUUCAACUAAUGAAUAGAAUCAGUUUUUGUUCAUCAUUUUUCCUCUCCAUUCUCUUAGCUUUUUCUUUCUUUCUUCUGGCUUGAAUUUCUCUUGUUUGCUCAGCAAGUCUCGAGACUUGGUUGACAAGAUAUUGCUGAGGCUGCUUGAUUCUGUUAUUGCACCAACAGUUUCUCUUUAGUUUCAUUCUAAUUAAUCUAGUUUAAAAUGGACAAGUUGAUGACAACUUGAUGCAUUAGGUGUUGAAUGACUAGUUUAGGUGGCUUGUUUAUGUGUACAAGCAAUGUUUUAAUAGUCCCAAUGCUGAUUAGUGGAGUUAGGUAGUUGAUUAGGUGAUUACUUGUUUGUUUUACUUAUUGACUGAUAUAUGUAAUGGCUUAAUGCCUUGUUGUAAUGCUAAUGAAAGAUAUCAGCUCUUUUUCAUUCAAUCUUCUUCUCUCUUUCUGUUUUUUCACUUGCUAGUUUCAUCUUUCUGUUUUCUGCUUCCGAGCUUGCUUCUUCACCAAGGCUUGAGACUUACUACUCAAGCAAGACUUGAAACAGCUUGUUGCUGCCUCUUGCACCAAUAAUUGGUAUCAUGAGCCUAUGUCUUACGGGACCAUUGAUUUUGCUUCCCCUGCUUGUUAAAAAGAAAGAAGCUGUCAAAGCGCAAGCAAGUCAUUAAGGACUGCUUGUAGAGAAGAUAAUAUCGGCUCAAACUUAUAAGAUCCCCAAACUAGCUUGAAUAAGCUGAAGGAGGAGUUUAAAGGAAAGGUGUGAGCUUUCCAAAUGUGCAAGCUUAGCAAGAUGUCAAAGCUGCAAGCUUAGCAAAGUGCGAGCCUGAUGAAGACACCUGUUGAAGACAAUAUGCAAAGAUGUGAGUCUGUCAAAGGUGUGAGCUCAGCAACAUGUGGAAGCUCAAUGCGUGUUGUAUAGUUGCAAGCCUCUUGAAGACAGUAAGCAAAGUGUGAGCCUGUCGAAUUGCAAGCCAAAAUGGCAGAAUGAAGGCAAGCAACUAUACUCACGAACUGUUUGUGCAAGAAGAAAAUGAAUUGGUCAGCUUGAAUCAAAGCAUCUAAGAGCUGCCAAGUUCAAAAAACUUGAUGAAUGACUGGUAUUUGCAGCAUGGAGUCCAAGGAGGAGUAUUGGAAAUUGGCCAACCAUGCUGCUGUUACAUUUUGUGGUUGAAGUGCAUGCAGCUUGAUGACAUGCUGCAGCACAUAUGCUUGCUGUAACAGCAAGGUUUCUCUUUAGUUUCAUUCUAAUUAAUCUAGUUUAAAAUGGACAAGUUGAUGACAACUUGAUGCAUUAGGUGUUGAAUGACUAGUUUAGGUGGCUUGUUUAUGUGUACAAGCAAUGUUUUAAUAGUCCCAAUGCUGAUUAGUGGGGUUAGUUGACUAUUUGGUGAUGUAUUUGACUAUAAAUGUAUGUUUUUUCUAGUUGAAUGAAUGAGCUGAAUGAGCUAUCAGCCAUUAGCUCCCUUGCUGCACAUUUGUGAGCAAGUAAAAAUGCUUCUUGCACCUUGCUUCAUGUUCUGUGCUCUUGUUCUCUCUUUUGUUGCUGCCUCUUGCACCAACAAACAUCAACAGUGGAUGUUGAUGCCCAUAGUUCUUUAGCUCUUCCAUUUCUCCUUUCUCUCUGUCUCUUUCGAUGUGGUAGAGAAAGAAAAAUUGAAAUUGAAUAACUCAAAGAAAGCAGAAAAUUAGAAGGGAGAGAUUCCAAAUGUUUAUUUGUAGGAGUCUGUUUGAACUUGCUAUGCUACUUUGCUUCAACAGUGGGUUGCCUAUACCUAUAUAUGUUUGAUCUUCUUUAUAAUUUCCAUGAAUGGGAUGCAAUGGGUUUGAGUGUACUCUAAGUAAAUUAUCAUUUUUUUUCCUUUAUUCUUUGCUUUGUGGAUUAGCUAAUUUUGUGGAUUAGAUAAUGAAUAUUCUGAUAUUGUUUGUGUGUAAAAAAAAAUACGAUAUCAUGAUGAAAGGUAAAGGUAUUUUUACAAGUUACGAAUUUUUCAAUUGAGAAUGAUAUCAAACAAUCAAAUUAUUCUAAAAAAAUUGAAUUAAAUCAUUUAUCUAAUCGAAAAUUAAAAACCUAUUUAAUUUAUUCUGGUGAGAAUAAAAAAAUUUGAACAAAGCUAGAUAGAUUAAUUAUACAAUUACCGAGCCACCAAUCGGCUCUCUUAGGAUAAUCUGUUACAGAAAUUACUCUAACUCCCUUGGUAUUUGCUCAACCACUUCAAUCCCAAUGGGGUCAUCGUUCAUUAAAGUAACCAUAUAAGUAGAUGUGAAUGAGACAUCUUUAUUGUAGGAAUGAUCCAUAUUCACUGUCCUGCAGUACAAACUGAAUCUACAAGCUAAUGAUAGAAACAUAAACCAAAAUAUAUAGUACAUUGUUUGAUUAAAAUUGAAAACAUGGUUCAUAUUUGUCCAUUGCAAUAUUCAGAUGUUCAAUGACAUGCAAAAGAUAUAUAUAUAUAUAGUCUAAUGACAGCUUGAAGUUUAUCUAAGCAAAUACACAUAUAUCACCCAAAACUUCCCACAGAAACUCAAAUUUAAGUACUAACAAGUUCAUAAAACAAGUUAAACGAAAGAUUACAUCAAGGGAAAAAGACAAUCAAGACAAGUAAAUAUACUGAUACUCCUAUUUAAUCGAACUCAAAGCGAUAACCGCGUGUCGUUCGUGCUUUAGGAAUGUCUGAAACUCUUUAUAACCACUCCUGUAAUGGUCCAGACUGAAUGUACGCUGUCUUAUUACCUCUCUUUUCUCUUCAGACACAUCUAAGAUCAUGUUCCUUUGCUUAUCCACUUCCUUCUCAAGGUCCUUUUUCUUCAAUUUCAACUCAUCUUCUAGAUUCUUUGUUAGCUGCAUAUGUUCCUUGCUUAAUUGUUGUAAAUGGUCCUCCAUUUGUCUGAUCCGUAAAUCACAAGAACGAACCUCGGCUACGAGAUUGUUUACUGUUGCAGUAACACAAUCUUUGUCUGUCAUAAGCAUAUCAUAUUUCAAUUUCAUUUUGUCAAGGUUCUUAUUCAAAGCUUCUAUGUGUAUACCUUUCUCAUUAAGUUCUGUCUUCAAUUGAUUGAUCUGACCUUGUAAGUUGGUUUCUUGUACAACAAGCAAGCUUUCGAUUUCCGAAUUUUUGGUCUCACGCUGCCUUAUUUUUUCCUCCAAUACACUUCCAAGCAGGGAAAGCGCUAUCGAGGGCGGAACUUGAGGGUGUUCUGGUUUUUGUUGAACCUUUUUUGUUUCAUGUCAAUGGCACCUUAUCCAAUUGGCAAUGGUGGGAAAACAAAGUUUGCCAUUUUGAUCCAUUUGUAAAGGCAAGUCACUUGGCAGUGGGGGUUUCGCAGUUGAGUGGCAAGGGCUACAGAUGAGGCAGGAAAUACUUUUAUUUAUAGUUGAGCUCCGUAAAUUCAACAAUAUAACAAUAUUAUUACAUUAUCAGUUCGGAUUUAAUCUUAUUUAUAACAUUGAUCCCUAAAGAAUUUAAAUCUUCUAUUAUCUUAUCCUUAAGAUUAUAAAAUUACACUAGUAAAAUACAAGUUACCAAAACUUCUACAAGUGCACAAUGUUUCAAGUAGGAUGAGCUUUCAGAAUGUUUCAAAAAUAGGACCAAUCUCGGUGGCUUAAGUAAACCUAAUUUAAUCAAAUGAUCUCUUUUUUAAGUUGUUAUGUGCACAUUGGAUUUUAUUAUAAUAAAAUAUAAAUUAAGUCAAUUAUAUUUCUAUAAUAAAAAUAGAUAGCGGAGAAGUUAAUAAAAGAAAGAAGAAUAAAAACAAAACAUUAUUUCUUCCUUAUGGUCUUGCAUGCCGAAAUGGUGAGGGAAGAAAAGGGAUUUUCGGCCAUUGUUGUUUAAGUUUGGAAGCUCAGGUUUUGGUUCUUUUUUAUUAAAUUUUAUAUUUUUGGAACUUUAAAAUCAUGUAGUAGUUUAUCUAUGUUGAAAAUUUGAGAGUUAAUGAUAUUUGUGAAAAUUAUCAUUGUUGAGAAAUUUAAAUUCUUGGUGUUAUUUUGUUGAUGUAUGUGUGUGUUGGAUGGUAGAUAUUGUAUAUGGUUGAUAUUUUAAGUUCUAUGGAAUUUGGCUCUUUUUGAAGUAAAUGAUUGAGGUCAAUUUGUUGAGUUGAAAUAUGUAGGAUAUGGCAUUUGAAAUUUAUGAUUCCUAUUUGUGGAGCAAGAUGAAUGUAUGAUUUGGUUAAGGUUGAAUGCCUUUGUAUGUGAUGUUUGAAAUGUGGUGCUAAUGAGGGCUAUGUUGGUUAGGUUCUUAGAAUGUAUGAAAUUGAUAUGUUUUGACUUGUUUUGAGGUGUAUUUGAUGACAUAUAUAGAGUGGUUAUAGGUUUGGUUUGGUAGCCAGAUAGGUGUGAAAUUUGCCCUGUUUUGGAAGCAAAAAUUGGUCCACGUGGCCUGGGGUAUAGGCUGUACAAAGCCUACUCACAAGGCCGUGUGUCUUAAUGAUUUUAGGUGCAGGGCAUACAUAGUCUAAGACACAACCAGCGACCAACAAAUGCACAUACGGGCAGUCACACGGCCAUGUGACCUUAAUUUGAAUAUACACACGGGCGAACACACGGUCGUGUGUCUGACUUUGAAUGUCCACACGGUCUGAGUUGUUACAUACAACCGUGUGUCCCUUAUUUUUCAAAAUUUUCAUCUUUUUUCUAACUUUUCCAUUUUGUUUCAAAUUGACCUCAGAAUAUUUCUAAUUUAUUUUUAGGGUCCCGUAAACUCAGUUUAAGGCCUGUAAGUGUAUGUUUAUUGUGAAUUGAUUGUGAUUUGAUUAAUUUUAAUUAUAUUGAAUAAUUGCUUUUAAGUAGUGUUAAAUGUUUGAAAUGUUAUCGUAAUACUCCGUGACUUCAAUUCGACGACAGGCACUCUUUAGGGGAGUUAAGUUUAAAUUGUCUUUUAUAAAUUUUAUAUAAAUGCAUGAAAAAUACAAAAAGAAACACUCUAUAAUAAUAUUUAUUAAUCAUUAAAAAUUAGUUUUUUAAUACUUUUCUUGAUCGAGUUAGUGUCGAGUUAACCAAUGAUACAGUCUAAAUUCAUGACUCCAAUUCAAUCAUACACUUAAAUAAUAAUAUAAAUGUUAUUGUUUAUGAGAAGAUCAAAAUAUCAAUGUUGAAUCCGAAAAUGAAAACAACGGUUAAGAUUUGAAAUAUAAGUAGAGAUGGUAAUGGAGUGGGGCGGAAUGGUUUUUUGUCCACCCGAACUGAUAUACCUCUAACAUAAUCCGAUUUUGAUCCAGCUCAAAAUUAAAUAUUAAUUUACUUAUCUUGAACCUGACUCGAAAAAUCAAAGUUAUACCCUAUUUCGAUUGAUAUACCAAUACUUUUAAUUGUUCUUAUAUUUUUUUUAUUAAAAUAGAAUAAUAGUUUUAAAGUUUUUAAUGAUAAAAUUACUUUUUUUUUGGUAGUUAUAGUUAUGGUAGGGAAAAUAUUUUUAUAAUUAUCAUAUAUUAUAAUCUAAUAUUAUAUAUAAAUGGUUAUUUUGGUAAUUACGGGGCAAAUUUUUCUAAAUCGGAGAAAGAAUUGUAUGAAAUUGUGAUUCCACAUUAUCUGUAUCAUUUUCUAAUACGAAAAUGACAAAUCAGAAUUUAAGAUUAAAUCCAUGUACUUUAAAAGUUAAAAUUUCAAUUAUUCUACUUCUACGAUUUAAAAAUUCAAUUCAAUUAUUAUAAUUUGUAAUUUUUUGUCAAAAAAUUUAACUUAACAUCAUAUGAAAUGUUAUAUGAUAGCAGUCUAAUCAACAUGCCAAAUUGGAAUAUUUUGAUGGAAAUUAUUAACAAUGUUAAAGACUGGAAUGAAAUUUUUAAAUUAGAAAAGUAAGAUAACUAAAUUCGAAAUUUUAGCUAAGUCAAAGGGACUAACAACAUAUUUUCACAAAAGAAAUUGAUAGACUAAUUUAGGUUUUAGACUAAGCAAAAUUUUCAUUUCCAACUAUAUUCAACUUGUAUAAAUAUGGGAGCUAGCAUAUAAGGAUAAUAACUUUUCAUGGAAUCUAAGGACAAAAAAUAAUUAACAUACUAGCAUGUAAGAAAAAGAAGAAAUAAGCAAAUCAUAUUAAUUUUAUUAUCAUAUAUUUACAGUUCAAACCUCACAAUUUUCAACCUUAAAACAUUACAUUGAUUAAACACACAACUAAAAAGUAUCAAGCUUUAAGAACAACCACAUACUUUUUUUGUGAAACUGAAGCCGCAAUUUUCAGCACCUACCACGGAUUGUUGAUUUUCUGCAUUCCCAAUGAGCAAUAUACUUGCAUUCUGGUUCUGCACAUUCAAGAAAAAGAUCUUCACAAGGUUUACCACAUUCAACACAUUCAGGGUAAUAAGGAAAUUUCUUGACAAAAGUGAGAGAGUGUGGAUGGUUUCCCUCAUUGUAGGUGCUCCCGAGUUUGAUGAAUGGAUAUUUUCCAAGAACGCAAUCCACGUGAGCAGAAGUGUCACAAGUUUCACAAUGAUAAAACCAGUUCUUUGAAUCCCUUUCCUCCUCGCAAAUGUCACAAUAAUGAUAUUUUGUAUAAUCAUUAAUCUUGUGAUAAGUGAGGUUAAGAGGAUGAUCAUCGCAAUUGUGUCCGACUCUAGUUGGUCGCAUAACACAAUUAAGGCAUAAACCAAAGUUACAAUCCUUACAACGAUAUGUGUUACUGAGAUCCGUCCCACAACCACUACACUGCUUUUCAAAAUUAUAAUAAUCAUAAUAGAAAAGAAGAAGGUGUUUAUGCCCUGGAAUUUUUACAGCAUAAGGGAGAGUUGCACAUCGAACGCACCUGUGAAUUCCACAUUCAUUACAUUUAUAAGAAAACCCAUUAGAAAGGUACGUGCAUUGCUCACAUUCGAACAUGCAGUCUGAAGUAAGGAUGAAGGGUUUUGAUCCAGAAAAAAGCUUUCCAACACAACGAUGAUCCCAAAUAAGGUCCAUCUUAGGUAAUUCAGCACAAGAUUUAUGAAGAAAGAAAUCACACCGCAAGCAAUGGUAGAACUUAGCGGAGAUCAAUAACAGGCACCCAUCACAACAUUUAUCACCAUGCUCGCUGAUUUUGUCACUUAACAUCAAGUAGUGCUUAUGCUUGCAAUGUUCUAUGAGUGUGGCUUCUCCAGCAUCAUUCGUCUCAAGAAACUUAGUGAUGGAGUUAACAGGUAUAUCAAGAGACUUGUCAUCUUCAUUUUCCUGUGAUACUAUGCAAUACCACUCCUUUUCUUUUAAUGCACAAUUCACAUGGAAUAUAACAUUACAAUCUGCACAGAAGUAACUACCGUGCUCUGUAUCGACAACUUCAUGGCACCGUAUGCAAUUCAAACUUUCAGAAUAUUCCUUGUGAAUGAAAUACGUGUGAAAAACACGAUGGACAUGGAACACGUGUUGGAUAAUGCUUGGCAAUGAAAUGCAUUUUUUAUGGACCAUAAUACUGCAUGUACAACAUGCAUAGGCAACAUGAUGUCCUUCGGUGCCACAAGCAUCACAAAUGAAUGGAAUUUGUCUCCAAAACAAGGUGAAUGGGUGUUGAUGACUUUUAUCUUCAAUAACUGGUAAUGGCGAUAAACAAUCAAUAUGAAUAGCCAAAUUACAAGUUGAGCAACCAUACAGAAAGCCUCUUUGUUGGGUUACUUGGCAUAUCUUGCAAGAAAGCUGUUCACUAUUAAAUUGCAGAAGAAGAGGAUGUUUGCGAUGGCACACAUGACCCAUUUUGGCAGGAAGCUCAGCACAUUUCUUAUGCAAAUUAAACCCACAAUCAAGAGAGAAGUAUGUAUAAAUUGCUAAUGGUUCCCAACACGCAAAGCACUUACCCAGGUUUCCACCAUCGUUCUUAGAGGAAAACGAUGGAUCCUCAAGGGCCACAUGCUCAAGCUCUUUCAAAUUUCUUUCAGCAAUAUUAAAUGUAAACAAAGCACAUUUAAUAUGAAAUUUCAAGCCACAAGAGCAAUGGUAAAUGAAUUUCUCACAUGUUUCAUCACAGAAAUCGCAAACGCACCUUGUGUAAGAAGAUGGUGGAUUCUGCAAAAGCAGGAGAGGAUGGUGGCGAUGAAAAGGAUGAUUAAGCUCCAAAGGUGCCUGGGCACACGUCUUGUGGAGGUAAAACCCACUGCACUCCACACAGCUAAAACAUGGAGCUGACACCUUCUCCCCACACCUUGAGCAAUCAACAACUCCAUUGCCAUUGCCAAGCAACUGCUCUUCAUUUAACAUCAACAGUGGAUGUUGAUGCCCGUAGUUCUUUAGCUCUUCCAUUUCUCCUUCCUCUCUGUAUCUUUCGAUGUGGUAGAGAAAGAAAAAUUGAAAUUGAAUAACUCAAAGAAAGCAGAAAAUUAGAAGGGAGAGAUUCCAAAUGUUUAUUUGUAGGAGUCUCUUUGAACUUGCUAUGGUACUUUGCUUCGACGGUGUGUUGCCUAUACCCAUAUAUGUUUCUUCUUUAUAAUUACUAUGAAUGGGAUGCAAUGGGUUUGAGUGUACUCUAAGUAAAUUAUCAAUUUUUUUCCUUUAUUCUUUGCUUUGUGGAUUAACUAAUUUUGUGGAUUAGAUAAUGAAUAUUCUGAUAUUGUUUGUGUGUAAAAAUAUAAGAUAAUAAGAUGAAAGGUAUUUUUAUAGGUUACGAGUUUUUCAAUUGAGAAUGAUAUCAAACAAUCAAAUUAUUCUAAAAAAAAUUGAAUUAAACCAUUUAUCUAAUCGAAAAUUAAAAGCCUAUUUAAUUUAUUCUGGUGAUUAGAAUAAAAAAAAUUUGAACAAAGCUAGAUAGAUUAAUUAUACAAUUACCGAGCCACCAAUCGGCUCUCUUAGGAUAAUCUGCUACAGAAAUUACUCUUAACUCCCUUGGUAUUUGCUCAACCACUUCAAUCCCAAUGGGGUCAUCGUUCAUUAAACUAACCAUAUAAUUAGAUGUGAAUGAGACAUCUUUAUUAUAGGAAUGAUCCACAUUCGCUGUCCUGCAGUACAAACUGUUGGAACACUGGCAGCAACAACCAAACAAUGAAACACUAAGAGCAUAAGCUCUUCAAACAGCAAGCAGAAACACAAAGCAUCAAGAGCAUAAGCUCUCGGUUAACAGGCAGAAAAAAGAAAAAGAAAGAACAAUGGCAGCAGCUCUUAGAAAAAGAACAAAACAGAGAACAAAGGAGGAAGAAACAAAAAUAAUUUACUUGCUCACAAACGUGCAGCCUAGUAACUUUAAAAACAUUUAUAGCCAACCACAUCAGUUAUUACUACCUAAUACCACUAAGUAGCCUAGUAACUUUAAAAACAUUGCUUGUACACAUGGAUAAGCUGACUUAUCAGCUCAACCAACCCAUCAAAACAUCAACAUCAAAGUUCAUUCUCAACCAAACUAAAUUACAGAAUCAUCAUAGUACCAUGCAUUUUAACAAAAACAUAAUAGCAGCAUGGUUGGCCAUUUUUAACACAAACUGAAUCUACAAGCUAAUGAUAGAAACAUAAACCAAAAUAUAUAGUACAUUGUUUGAUUAAAAUUGAAAACAUGGUUCAUAUUUGUCCACUGUAAUGUUCAGGUGUUCAAUAACAUGCAAAAGAUAUAUAUAUAUAGUCUAAUGACAGCUUCAAGUUUAUCUAAGCAAAUACGAAUAUAUCACCCAAAACUUCCCACAGAAACUCAAAUUUAAGUACUAAUAAGUUCAUAAAACAAGUUAAACGAAAGAUUACAUCAAGGGAAAAAGACAAUCCAGACAAGUAACUAUACCGAUACUCAUAUUUAAUCGAACUCAUAAAGCGAUAAACGCUUGUCGUUUGUGCUUGAGGAAUGUCUGAAGCUCUUUAUAACCACUCCUGUAAUGGUCCAGACUGAAUGUAAGCUGUCUUAUUACCUCUCUUUUCUCUUCUGACACAUCUAAGAUCAUGUUCCUUUGCUUAUCCACUUCCUUCUCAAGGUCCUUUAUCUUCAAUUUCAACUCAUCUUCUAGAUUCUUUGUUAGCUGCAUAUGUUCCUUGCUUAAUUGUUGUAAAUGGUCCUCCAUUUGUCUGAUCUGUAAAUCACGAGAACGAACCUCGGCCACGAGAUUGUUUACUGUUGCAGUAACACAAUCUUUGUCUUUCAUAAGCAUAUCAUAUUUCAAUUUCAUUUUGUCAAGGUUCUUAUUCAAAGCUUCUAUCUGUAUACCUUUCUCAUUAAGUUCUGUCUUCAAUUGAUUGAUCUGACCUUGUAAGUUGGUUUCUUGUACAGCAAGCAAGCUUUCGAUAACUGGUAAUGGCGACAGACAAUCAAUGUGAAUAGCCAACUCACAAGGUGAACAACCAUACAAAUAUCCUCUUCCUUGAGUUACUUGGCAUAUUUUGCAAGCACGCCGUUCACUAUUAAAUUGCAAAACAAGAGGAUGUUUGCGAUGACACGAAUGAUCCAUUUUGAGAGGAAGCUCAGCACACCUCUUAUGCAAUUUAAACCCACAAUCAAGAAAGAAGUAUGUAUACAUUGCUAAUGGUUCCCAGCACACAAAACACUUACCCAGGUUUCCACCAUCGUUUUUAGAGGAAAACGAUGGAUCCUCAAGGGCCACAUGCUCAAGCUCUUUCAAAUUUCUUUCAGCAAUAUUAAAUGUAAACAAAGCACAUUUAAUAUGAAAGUCCAAGCCACAAGAGCAAUGGUAAAUGAAUUUCUCACAUGCUUCGUUACAGAAAUCGCAAACGCACCUUGUGUAAGGAGUGUAAGGUGGAUUCUGCAGAAGCAGGAGAGGAUGGUGGCGAUGAAAAGGAUGAUUAAGCUCCAAAGGUGCCUCGGCACAUUUCUUGUGGAGGUAAAACCCACAGCACUCCACACAGCCAAAACAUGGAGCUGACACCUUCUCCCCACACCUUGAGCAAUCAACAACUCCAUUGCCAUUGCCAAGCAACUGCUCUUCAUUUAACAUCAACAGUGGAUGUUGAUGCCCAUAGUUCUUUAGCUCUUCCAUUUCUCCUUCCUCUCUGUCUCUUUCGAUGUGGUAGAGAAAGAAAAAUUGAAAUUGAAUAACUCAAAGAAAGCAGAAAAUUAGAAGGGGGAGAUUCCAAAUGUUAAUUGGUAGGAGUCUCUUUGAACUUGCUAUGGUACUUUGCUUCAACGGUGGGUUGCCUUUACCUAUAUAUGUUUCUUCUUUAUAAUUACUGUGAAUGGGAUGCAAUGGGUUUGAGUGUAUGCUAAGUACAUUAUCAAUUUUUUUUCCUUUAUUCUUUGCUUUGUGGAUUAGAUAAUGAAUAUUGAUGGCGAAAGUGUUCUGAUAUUGUUUGUGUAAAAAAAUAAGAUAAUAUGAUGAAGGUAUUUUGACUGGUUACGAAUUUUUCAAUUGAGAAUGAUAUCAAACAAUCAAAUUAUUCUAAAAAAAUUGAAUUAAAUCAUUUAUCUAAUCGAAAAUUAAAAACCUAUUUAAUUUAUUCUGGUAUUUAGAAUAGAAAAAUUUGAACAAAGCUAGAUAGAUUAAUUAUACAAUUACCGACCCACCAAUCGGCUCUCUUAGGAAUGAGAAUGAGACAUCUUUAUUAUAGGAAUGAUCCACAUUCACUGUCCUGCAGUACAAACUGAAUCUACAAGCUAACGAUAGAAACAUAAACCAAAAUAUAUAGUACAUUGUUUGAUUAAAAUUGAAAACAUGGUUCAUAUUUGUCCAUUGCAAUGUUCAGAUGUUCAAUAACAUGCAAAAGAUAUAUAUAUAUAUAGUCUAAUGACAGCUUCAAGUUUAUCUAAGCAAAUACGAAUAUAUCACCCAAAACUUCCCACAGAAGCUCAAAUUUAAGUACUAAUAAGUUCAUAAAACAAGUUAAACGAAAGAUUACAUCAAGGGAAAAAGACAAUCCAGACAAGUAACUAUACCGAUACUCAUAUUUAAUCGAACUCAUAAAGCGAUAACCGCUUGUCGUUUGUGCUUGAGGAAUGUCUGAAGCUCUUUAUAACCACUCCUGUAAUGGUCCAGACUGAAUGUAAGCUGUCUUAUUACCUCUCUUUUCUCUUCUGACACAUCUAAGAUCAUGUUCCUUUGCUUAUCCACUUCCUUCUCAAGGUCCUUUAUCUUCAAUUUCAACUCAUCUUCUAGAUUCUUUGUUAGCUGCAUAUGUUCCUUGCUUAAUUGUUGUAAAUGGUCCUCCAUUUGUCUGAUCUGUAAAUCACGAGAACGAACCUCGGCCACGAGAUUGUUUACUGUUGCAGUAACACAAUCUUUGUCUGUCAUAAGCAUAUCAUAUUUCAAUUUCAUUUUGUCAAG